CCUACGGGUGGCAGCAGUGAGGAAUAUUGGUCAAUGGACGAGAGGCUGAACCAGCCAAGUAGCGUGAAGGAUGACUGCCCUACGGGUUGUAAACUUCUUUUAUAUGGGAAUAAAACGUUCCACGUGUGGCAUUUUGUAUGUACCUUAUGAAUAAGGAUCGGCUAACUCCGUGCCAGCAGCCGCGGUAAUACGGAGGAUCCGAGCGUUAUCCGGAUUUCUUGGGUUUAAAGGGAGGGUAGGUGGGAGUGCAAGUCAGAUGUGAAAGCCAUGGGCUCAACCCAUGAAUUGCAUUUGAUACUGCAGUGCUGGAGUGCUGGUGAGGUAGGAGGAAUGCGUGGUGUAGCGGUGAAAUGCAUAGAUAUACGGAAGAACACCGAUUGCGAAGGCAGCCUACUGGACCGCAACUGACGCUGAUGCGCGAAAGCGUGGGUAGCAAACAGGAUUAGAUACCCUGGUAGUC
RNAcentral lists this ribosomal RNA (460 nucleotides) under uncultured bacterium. RNAcentral's name for it is "partial 16S ribosomal RNA". It matches the Rfam family "Bacterial small subunit ribosomal RNA", at positions 338 to 795 of the family's 1533-position model. The record is from RNAcentral.